AUUCAAUGUCAUAUCAAUGAGAAAUUUUAUGUAGAAGUAGUGGAGAUAGCAAACUGCAAACAGCAAAACUCUCUGCCUAUAAAGAACACAUAUCUGCCGAAUCAGCCAAUCUCUCCACCUUCAUCAAUAGUACUCAUAGGAAGAGCUAAUGAUACUUGAAACUUUUGUUCAUACAUAGUAUUAACUAUAUUUAUAGAUUUAAGUUGCUACUGCUUCUCUAAAUUCGAGAUAUUCUUCACACCAUAUUCAGUCAAGACACAUUUAAAAUGUCACAUGAAACACAGGCCAUCUGCAACAAACCUACUGUAAGAAAUGUUGCUUUAGCAAUGAACUCUAAUCGGCAAAAAUUUACCUUUCAGACAUAAUCUUAUAAUUUGACCCAGAUCCUGUUCCGGCAGGUUCCGGCUUAAAUUAAGCCCUGGACACACUUCAUCUGUAAUCUUUUGUAUAAAUUUCCGACCACAUAAUGAGCAUACGCUAUGAAAACAUGUCUUUAAAAACACACCUCUAAAAUAUAGCACACCUGCUUUCCAGAACCUUUUUAUGCGGAUCCGGCACCUCUGCAGCUGGAUGUAAAGUCUCCCGCAGCAAUAUUACCAAAACAAAUAGUUUUAGUGUUUAAUUCACCAAAAGUAAAACAGAACAACAACAAAAACCGGCAAAGGAAAUGCUCGAAUGAUGCAUUCAUUUAAGAACGAUGAGUUACUGAACCUAUGAAAAAAGUGUCCCAGCUAUUUUUGCCAUAAACCAAGUCAUUCAUUUACAGAGUCGCUUGUCAGACUUUACAUUAUGUUUAGGUACCAAGUGUUGAUUGGUCCAUGUGGGGCUGCUGGUUCACAUAAAUAGGAGUGUGAAGUGAGUUCCCCAUCAUAGGUGAUCAACAGCCAUCAUGAGGUUUCUAGUCCUGCUUUUGCUUGUCGGAGCUUGCUGUAAGUAUAAACAUCAUCUACAGACUACCGGGCUGUAUGAUCUGACAGCCAACCACAUGCGAAGGUCUGCAUUUUCACCAGCUGGAUUCCCCAAACAAUGUCCAGCAGUUAAAUCUGCUCCAGUCCACUUUACACAAUGCAACAACAUAUUGUGAAAUCCAACACUCACAUAUUCAAAUAAAAGUUCCUGAAUUAACAAAACCA
Ictalurus punctatus (channel catfish) is the source of this 1133-nucleotide long non-coding RNA. RefSeq lists it as uncharacterized. NCBI's taxonomy places the organism in Eukaryota, Metazoa, Chordata, Actinopteri, Siluriformes, Ictaluridae. The transcript is spliced from 2 exons. The record is from RefSeq and is a predicted model, not a curated record.